GUCUGCCAAGGCUUCUUUGUCUUGGUGGAUCGUGGGUUUCCUGUGUUGCCUACCUAAGCAAUGGUAUUGCCUUGGUUGAUCGUAGUCCCUUUUCUUCUAGUGUCAUACCUAUGACACUGGAUGAACCAUGAAGCGGUUUCUUUGAUCCAUCUUGUCAUCCAAAUGUGUUGAUUUUAUGGCUCAUCGAGCAUCGCUUGGUCUCUUGGAUACAGAACAUGAUUUUGAGCAUAUGGGGUCUCAUGGGUUCCUUGUUUUGCUCUCAUUCAGCUUGUGCCUUUCUYUUACAAUGACUGCCUCCCCCGCCUAGGCUCGUACCUGCGUGGGAGGCAUGUCAAAGGGAAAUGCUCUUGCUGUUUGGUGUGGGCAUGGUGUCUCAUGUGAUCCUUGUUUUGCUCUCAUUUAGCGUUCGCGCUUUCUUCAAAUGACUGCCUCGCUCGCCUAGGCUCGUACCUGCUUGGGAGGCCAUGUCAAAGAGGAUUGC
This 481-nucleotide unclassified non-coding RNA is filed under the name Deinandra corymbosa. RNAcentral describes it as "partial external transcribed spacer". Lineage: Eukaryota; Viridiplantae; Streptophyta; Magnoliopsida; Asterales; Asteraceae. The record is from RNAcentral.